This 440-nucleotide ribosomal RNA is filed under the name uncultured bacterium. RNAcentral describes it as "partial 16S ribosomal RNA". It matches the Rfam family "Bacterial small subunit ribosomal RNA", at positions 338 to 795 of the family's 1533-position model. The record is from RNAcentral.
CCUACGGGGUGCAGCAGUGGGGAAUAUUGCACAAUGGGGGAAACCCUGAUGCAGCGAAGCCGCGUGAGUGAGGAAGUUUUUCGGUAUGUAAAGCUCUAUCAGCAGGGAAGAAAAUGACGGUACCUGACUAAGAAGCCACGGCUAACUAAGGGACAGCAGCCGCGGUCAUACGGAGGGGGCAAGCGGUAGCCGGAUUUACUGGGUGUAAAGGGAGCGUAGACGGCUAAUCAAGUCAGAAGUGAAAACCCAGGGCUCAACUUUGGGACUGCUUUUGAAAAUGAGGAGAUAGAGUGCAGGAGAGGUAAGCGGAAUGCCUAGUGUAGCGGUGAAAUGCGUAGAUAUUAGGAGGAACACCAGUGGCGAAGGCGGCUUACUGGACUGUAACUGACGUUGAGGCUCGAAAGCGUGGGGAGCAAACAGGAUUAGAUACCCUAGUAGUC